GCCGAUUCCCUGCCGAAAUCCCCCUUUGGCGGGUUCCCGUUUCGAGGUGGAUGGUUGCGGCUUUGCCGGAGGGGCCGCGUUUGCCCUGAACGGCUCCAAAAGCGGCUGUUUUCACCCCGAAAUCGGGGCCAGUUUUCACCCCCAAAUCGGGGCCGGUUUUCACCCCAAAAACAGGGUUGAUUUUCACCCCGAAAACGGGGUUGAUUUUCGCCCCGCGGCAGCGGCACCUUUGCCCCCCGGCGCCGCUCACCGCUGCCGCCGCCGCUUCGCUCCCGCGCGCCGGCGCCUCCCCGCUCCCUCCCGGUUCUCCCAGUUCUCCCAGUUGCCUUUUCCCCCUUUUUUUUCCCUCCCUCUAUUCCCAGUUCCGCAACUUCAAGAUCAUCUACCGGCGCUACGCCGGCCUUUACUUCUGCAUCUGCGUCGACGUCACCGACAACAACCUGGCCUAUCUCGAGGCCAUCCACAACUUCGUGGAGAUCCCACCAGGGAGCUCCAGUCCCAUCUGGGAGCUCGAAUCCUCUCCAAUCCCACCUGGAAGCCAGGGCCUCACCGGGGAGCUCGGAUCCCGCCGCAUCCCAUUUAGGAGCUCAGAUCCUACGUAGGAGCUGUGAUCCCAUCAGAUCCCAUCAGGGAGCUUGGAGCCUGCCAGGGAGCUCGGAUCCCCCCCAGGAGCUUGGAUCCCCUUGGAUCCCACCUGGGCCCCACCAGGGAGAUCAGAUCGCAUUUAGGAGCUCAGAUCCUGUCAGAUCCCACUGGGGAGCUUGGAUCCGAAGCUCGGGCUCUGCCAAGGAGCUUGGAUCCUGUCUAGGAACUUGGAUCCCAUCAGGUCCCAUCUAGGAGCUCGGAUCCCAUUUAGGAGCCUGGAUCCCAUCAGAUUCCACGCAGGUGCUCAGAUCC
Molecule: long non-coding RNA, 897 nt
Filed under: Apteryx owenii (little spotted kiwi)
Lineage: Eukaryota; Metazoa; Chordata; Aves; Apterygiformes; Apterygidae
Description: lncRNA (ENSAOWG00000004226.1)
Source: RNAcentral